RNAcentral lists this ribosomal RNA (840 nucleotides) under Streptomyces sp. Its description in RNAcentral is "bacterial SSU rRNA". It matches the Rfam family "Bacterial small subunit ribosomal RNA", at positions 62 to 916 of the family's 1533-position model. The record is from RNAcentral. Lineage: Bacteria; Bacillati; Actinomycetota; Actinomycetes; Kitasatosporales; Streptomycetaceae.
UCGAACGAUGAAGCCCUUCGGGGUGGAUUAGUGGCGAACGGGUGAGUAACACGUGGGCAAUCUGCCCUGCACUCUGGGACAAGCCCUGGAAACGGGGUCUAAUACCGGAUAUGACACACGACCGCAUGGUCUGUGUGUGGAAAGCUCCGGCGGUGCAGGAUGAGCCCGCGGCCUAUCAGCUUGUUGGUGGGGUGAUGGCCUACCAAGGCGACGACGGGUAGCCGGCCUGAGAGGGCGACCGGCCACACUGGGACUGAGACACGGCCCAGACUCCUACGGGAGGCAGCAGUGGGGAAUAUUGCACAAUGGGCGAAAGCCUGAUGCAGCGACGCCGCGUGAGGGAUGACGGCCUUCGGGUUGUAAACCUCUUUCAGCAGGGAAGAAGCGCAAGUGACGGUACCUGCAGAAGAAGCACCGGCUAACUACGUGCCAGCAGCCGCGGUAAUACGUAGGGUGCAAGCGUUGUCCGGAAUUAUUGGGCGUAAAGAGCUCGUAGGCGGCCUGUCACGUCGGAUGUGAAAGCCCGGGGCUUAACCCCGGGUCUGCAUUCGAUACGGGCAGGCUAGAGUUCGGUAGGGGAGAUCGGAAUUCCUGGUGUAGCGGUGAAAUGCGCAGAUAUCAGGAGGAACACCGGUGGCGAAGGCGGAUCUCUGGGCCGAUACUGACGCUGAGGAGCGAAAGCGUGGGGAGCGAACAGGAUUAGAUACCCUGGUAGUCCACGCCGUAAACGUUGGGAACUAGGUGUGGGCGACAUUCCACGUCGUCCGUGCCGCAGCUAACGCAUUAAGUUCCCCGCCUGGGGAGUACGGCCGCAAGGCUAAAACUCAAAGGAAUUGACGG